GAUGAACGCUGGCGGCGUGCCUAAUACAUGCAAGUCUAGCGAACAGACGAGGAGCUUGCUCCUCUGACGUUAGCGGCGGACGGGUGAGUAACACGUGGAUAACCUACCUAUAAGACUGGGAUAACCUCGGGAAACCGGAGCUAAUACCGGAUAAUAUAUUGAACCGCAUGGUUCAAUAGUGAAAGACGGUUUUGCUGUCACUUAUAGAUGGAUCCGCGCCGCAUUAGCUAGUUGGUAAGGUAACGGCUUACCAAGGCAACGAUGCGUAGCCGACCUGAGAGGGUGAUCGGCCACACUGGAACUGAGACACGGUCCAGACUCCUACGGGAGGCAGCAGUAGGGAAUCUUCCGCAAUGGGCGAAAGCCUGACGGAGCAACGCCGCGUGAGUGAUGAAGGUCUUCGGAUCGUAAAACUCUGUUAUUAGGGAAGAACAAAUGUGUAAGUAACUAUGCACGUCUUGACGGUACCUAAUCAGAAAGCCACGGCUAACUACGUG
This 497-nucleotide ribosomal RNA is filed under the name uncultured bacterium. RNAcentral describes it as "partial 16S ribosomal RNA". It matches the Rfam family "Bacterial small subunit ribosomal RNA", at positions 28 to 507 of the family's 1533-position model. The record is from RNAcentral.